Molecule: long non-coding RNA, 383 nt
Filed under: Pan troglodytes (chimpanzee)
Lineage: Eukaryota; Metazoa; Chordata; Mammalia; Primates; Hominidae
Description: long non-coding RNA NONPTRT015248
Source: RNAcentral
AAAAACACCUUGAUAAGGGGUUAAAAGAAAUGGAAUUUGGAAUACAGAAUCCAGGACUUUGAAGGCGAUGUACAGCCACAGGAGGGAUUUUCUGAGAUGUGAAUACCUGAGCAUGUUUGAGGGCGGAAAGGAAGGAGCAGCGGAGAGGCACACGAGACGGCAAAAGAAAAAAAAUAAGAGAUGAAGCAAAGUUCUAAGUAGAUAGGUGGAUAUGGAUCUAAGAGUAAAAGUGGAUCAGGACACCACAGAAAAGAGGAAACACUUGCCUUCCAUUCAGAAAUAAAAGAAAACAAUGAGAUGGAGUACAAUUUAUAUGAAUUUUGAAGAAGUUAACUCGAGCCAAUCAUUUAGCAGGUGAAGGAAUUCACUCCUUAUAUUAGUCU